Mustela erminea (ermine) is the source of this 1237-nucleotide long non-coding RNA. RefSeq lists it as uncharacterized. The record is from RefSeq and is a predicted model, not a curated record. Lineage: Eukaryota; Metazoa; Chordata; Mammalia; Carnivora; Mustelidae. The transcript has 4 exons.
UGGCCAUGUAGCCAGUUCCCAGGGCUUAUCUUGACACCUGGGUGGUAUGGAGUUUUCCAUUUGCACCUAUCGUAUCCUCUCUGAGUAAGGCUGACUGUGGGCAAAGGCUAGGGUGUGUAAUCCUCCACGACUCCUGAUUCACAUCUAGUUGUGGUAGCUUUCGGGCCCUUGUGAAUUGGAAGAGAAUUUAAAAGUUAGUGAACAGAUCUUGUGGAGCCCUCAUGUGCCAGGAUAUGAGACGGGGGUCCAAUAAGGCCUGAUCCGAGGACGUUGUGAUGAUGAAGGAAACUCCCCUGAGGAGAAGAUCAUUCAUCUGGCGUUGGGAGAGUGUAUUGGCAAGAGCCCCGUAGAAGCAACUUGCCCAUGUGGUGACUCAAGGAGAAGAGCGUCAUGUGUUCAAGGAUCUCAGAAAAGCUUACCACAGCGGAAAAGAAGACAGUCAUGAUAGAGGAGCAACAGACACAUUGUUUAUGUAUGAAAGGAACAGCUAAGACACAAAGAAAGAGAAGAACUCCUAUGUUACAAGAAAGAAAAAGGAUCAUUUUCAUGAUACAGAACCUUUCAGGAUAUAUCAAGAAUUCCAGCGGAGUACACAGCUGACCAAUUUUUCUCAGGACUACUAAUAAAUCAAGAAACUGCCAAGACCACAGUGGCUGGAAGAAGACACAGGUCCACUGGUCAUUCACCGAAGACUGUAGUUCCUGUGAAGCGGUGGUGCUCUAUCGGUGAAAUCCAUGGGCUUCGAUCUUACAGAUCCUGAAUUCAAUCCCUCAUUAUAUUCCUUUCCAGCUUUGUGAACUUGGGUGUGGUAUUAACCUUUCAAAAUUUCUGUUUUAUCUGUAAAUGGAAAGAAUUAGAGUACCUGCCUGUUUUGUCUCCCAGAUGGAGGGCUCUUGGCUUACUCUGAGACACAGGGUACUUUGAUUCAUUGUGAUAGCUUUGUGGUGGAAAUUGCUGGUAGAGGAAGAAAUCAAUAAAAAGUUUUCUUAAUUCCUUUUUUCCCUGUCAAACAUGUUGCCAGGAAUGUUUAGCGUUGCCCGGACUCCCGCUGCCCAUUCCCCAAAGGUGGGAUUUUUCCAGCUCUCCAAAGGCCUUAUAGCCUUAAACUGGUGCCGGCCACUUGGUUAACAGGCGCCAUCAGGAGAAGGCGAUCUAUAAUUAAAACCAGCCCUCUGCAAGCAUGGCUCCCUGACCUCCUAAGGGAACAGUGGUCAUAAACUGCCGAGAGACUACGGGC